UACGGGGGGGGCAAGCGUUGUUCGGAAUUACUGGGCGUAAAGGGCUCGUAGGCGGCCCUCUCAGUCGGAUGUGAAAUCCCCAGGCUUAACCUGGGAACGGCAUCCGAUACUGGAGGGCUUGAAUUCGGGAGAGGGAUGCAGAAUUCCAGGUGUAGCGGUGAAAUGCGUAGAUAUCUGGAGGAAUACCGGUGGCGAGGGCGGGUCUCUGGGCAACUACUGACGCUGAGGAGCGAAAGCGUGGGGAGCGAACAGG
Molecule: ribosomal RNA, 253 nt
Filed under: uncultured bacterium
Lineage: Bacteria
Description: partial 16S ribosomal RNA
Rfam family: Bacterial small subunit ribosomal RNA
Source: RNAcentral